UACGGAGGGUGCAAGCGUUAAUCGGAAUUACUGGGCGUAAAGGGCACGCAGGCGGUCUUUUAAGUCAGAUGUGAAAGCCCCGAGCUUAACUUGGGAAUUGCAUUUGAAACUGGUUGGCUAGAGUCUUGUAGAGGGGGGUAGAAUUCCACGUGUAGCGGUGAAAUGCGUAGAGAUGUGGAGGAAUACCGAUGGCGAAGGCAGCCCCCUGGAAAUGUACUGACGCUCAUGUGCGAAAGCGUGGGGAGCAAACAGG
Molecule: ribosomal RNA, 253 nt
Filed under: uncultured bacterium
Lineage: Bacteria
Description: partial 16S ribosomal RNA
Rfam family: Bacterial small subunit ribosomal RNA
Source: RNAcentral